RNAcentral lists this transfer RNA (71 nucleotides) under Candidatus Woesebacteria bacterium RIFCSPHIGHO2_01_FULL_41_10. RNAcentral's name for it is "tRNA-Trp". It matches the Rfam family "tRNA". Rfam says of the family: Transfer RNA (tRNA) molecules are approximately 80 nucleotides in length. Lineage: Bacteria; Candidatus Woeseibacteriota. The record is from RNAcentral.
AGGCCCGUAGUUAAAUGGCAUAAUAGAGGUCUCCAAAACCUUUGUUGGGGGUUCGAUUCCCUCCGGGCCUG